This 1152-nucleotide ribosomal RNA is filed under the name Bacillus amyloliquefaciens. Its description in RNAcentral is "bacterial SSU rRNA". It matches the Rfam family "Bacterial small subunit ribosomal RNA", at positions 118 to 1228 of the family's 1533-position model. The record is from RNAcentral. Lineage: Bacteria; Bacillati; Bacillota; Bacilli; Caryophanales; Bacillaceae.
UGGGUAACCUGCCUGUAAGACAAGGGAUAACUCCGGGAAACCGGGGCUAAUAUCCGGCAUGGUUGUUUGGAACCGCCAUGGUUCAGACAUAAAAGGUGGCUUCGGCUACCACUUACAGAUGGACCCGCGGCGGCAUUAUCUUAGUUGGUGAGGUAACGGCUCACCAAGGGCGACGAUGCGUAGCCGACCUGAGGAGGGGUGAUCGGCCACACUGGGACUGAGGACACGGCCCAGACUCCUACGGGAGGCAGCAGUAGGGAAUCUUCCGCAAUGGACGAAAGUCUGACGGAGGCAACGCCGCGUGAGUGAUGAAGGUUUUCGGAUCGUAAAGCUCUGUUGUUAGGGAAGAACAAGUGCCGUUCAAAUAGGGCGGCACCUUGACGGUACCUAACCAGAAAGCCACGGCUAACUACGUGCCAGCAGCCGCGGUAAUACGUAGGUGGCAAGCGUUGUCCGGAAUUAUUGGGCGUAAAGGGCUCGCAGGCGGUUUCUUAAGUCUGAUGUGAAAGCCCCCGGCUCAACCGGGGAGGGUCAUUGGAAACUGGGGAACUUGAGUGCAGAAGAGGAGAGUGGAAUUCCACGUGUAGCGGUGAAAUGCGUAGAGAUGUGGAGGAACACCAGUGGCGAAGGCGACUCUCUGGUCUGUAACUGACGCUGAGGAGCGAAAGCGUGGGGAGCGAACAGGAUUAGAUACCCUGGUAGUCCACGCCGUAAACGAUGAGUGCUAAGUGUUAGGGGGUUUCCGCCCCUUAGUGCUGCAGCUAACGCAUUAAGCACUCCGCCUGGGGAGUACGGUCGCAAGACUGAAACUCAAAGGGAAUUGACGGGGGCCCGCACAAGCGGUGGAGCAUGUGGUUUAAUUUCGAAGCAACGCGAAGAACCUUACCAGGUCUUGACAUCCUCUGACAAUCCUAGAGAUAGGACGUCCCCUUCGGGGGCCAGAGUGACAGGUGGUGCAUGGUUGUCGUCAGCUCGUGUCGUGAGAUGUUGGUUUAAGUUCCCCGCCACCGAAGCCGCAACCCCCUUGAUCUUAGUUGCCAGCCAUUUCAGUUGGGCCACUCCUAAGGUGACUGCCGGUGACUAACCGUAGGAAGGUGGGGAUGACGUCAAAUUCAUCAUGCCCCUUAUGACCUGGGCUUAAACACGUGCUUA